RNAcentral lists this unclassified non-coding RNA (256 nucleotides) under uncultured fungus. RNAcentral describes it as "sequence contains ITS1, 5.8S rRNA gene". The stretch from base 208 to 256 matches the Rfam family "5.8S ribosomal RNA", at positions 1 to 49 of the family's 154-position model. Lineage: Eukaryota; Fungi. The record is from RNAcentral.
UCUCCGUUGGUGAACCAGCGGAGGGAUCAUUGCUGGAAGCGUCUCACGGCGCACCCAGAUACCCUUUGUGAACUUAUACCUUACUGUUGCCUCGGCGCAUGCCGGCCCCCCUGGGGGCCCCUCCUUCUGGAGGAGCAGGCACGCCGGCGGCCAACCUAACUCUUGUUUUUACACUGAAACUCUGAGAAUAAAACAUAAAUGAAUCAUAACUUUCAACAACGGAUCUCUUGGUUCUGGCAUCGAUGAAGAACGCAGC